RNAcentral lists this ribosomal RNA (487 nucleotides) under uncultured bacterium. RNAcentral describes it as "bacterial SSU rRNA". It matches the Rfam family "Bacterial small subunit ribosomal RNA", at positions 81 to 566 of the family's 1533-position model. The record is from RNAcentral.
AGCAAUACCUGAGACCGGCGCACGGGUGCGUAACGCGUAUGCAAUCUACCUUUUACAGAGGGAUAGCCCAGAGAAAUUUGGAUUAAUACCUCAUAGUAUGUAUGAGUGGCAUCACUUAUAUAUUAAAGUCACAACGGUAAAAGAUGAGCAUGCGUCCCAUUAGCUAGUUGGUAAGGUAACGGCUUACCAAGGCGACGAUGGGUAGGGGUCCUGAGAGGGAGAUCCCCCACACUGGUACUGAGACACGGACCAGACUCCUACGGGAGGCAGCAGUGAGGAAUAUUGGACAAUGGGCGCAAGCCUGAUCCAGCCAUGCCGCGUGCAGGAAGACGGUCCUAUGGAUUGUAAACUGCUUUUGUACGGGAAGAAACAGCAGUUCGUGAACUGCCUUGACGGUACCGUAAGAAUAAGGAUCGGCUAACUCCGUGCCAGCAGCCGCGGUAAUACGGAGGAUCCCAGCGUUAUCCGGAAUCAUUGGGUUUAAAGG